Long non-coding RNA from Peromyscus eremicus (cactus mouse), 8094 nucleotides. RefSeq lists it as uncharacterized. NCBI's taxonomy places the organism in Eukaryota, Metazoa, Chordata, Mammalia, Rodentia, Cricetidae. The transcript is spliced from 3 exons. The record is from RefSeq and is a predicted model, not a curated record.
UGGGACGCAGAGUAGGUAAUGGAGCAACAAUCUAAAGAAGAAGAGUCUGAGAGUAACAUCAGGGAUUAAAAAGAUGAGCUUGUACCUUGAAGGUGAUACCUUCGAAGAGUCUCUCGUGACGUUUGCCAUGCCUGUACUCUCCACACAAGGAAAGCUAGGACAACAGAACAGAGGGAAGCAAAGAAAGUCCUGGCUCUGCACUUAGAACACUAUUGCUGACUUUAAAGUUAAUGAUAAUAGCACCUUUUGCUUUGCAGAAGAAAACAAUUACACAUAUAUGUUCUCUUUUUCCUCUCCUUCCCUCCCCUCCCCACUUCCCUGCUCUGCCCUUCUCCCCAUGGCUCCCUCCUCUCUUCUUCUCCCUUCCCUUCUCUACACCUCUCUUCUCUUCUUUCUUCUCUUCUUCCACCCUUUCCUCUCUCCCUCCUUUCCUUUUAUCCCUCUCUCCUUCUUCUAUUUAUUUUUUAACUUUCUUUUCAUUUAUACUUUCCGUCUUUCACAUCAUGAAUCUGUAUCCCAUUCAUUUCCCUCUCCCUUCAUAUCUGCCCUCUGUCCUUGCAACCUCCCCUCCCCCCAAAAAAUAAAAUAAAAUAAAAUUUAAGAGAAAAAAAUUAAAAAAUAGAAAAAAAUCGACCUUGUCAUGGAAGCUGUAGCGUGCCACAAUGAGUCACCCAGGAAAGCCUUUUAUCCAUAUAACUUUACUUGCAAGUAUUCAUUGCAAAGAGUCAUUGGUGUGGGUCAAGGCCUUUGGUUUCUGCUACACUGUUGAUGCUGGGUCCUUCUCCUAUUUAUAAUUUUAUGUUAAUAGCAUAUGCUCUCUCUGAGAUACUCCUAAUGUUAAGUUAUUAUAGAAAUACACUUAAGUGAAACAAUAAAAGUAAUAUUGUACAUAACCUCAGGAUAGUGAUUUUUGCUCUAGUAUAUAUUUAAAACAUUUGAUCAAAAGAUUUUAUUUUCUGUUAACUGUUAGUAUUCCAGUAUUUUAGGAAAUAAUGCAGUUAAUUUGUGAAAUGAGUAGACUUUUUAAUAAGUAAUGUUUUUCAAGUAUAUUAAUUUGUAACUUAAGAAAUAAAUGUUGCUGGGAGGUGGUGGCGCACGCCUUUAAUCCCAGAACUCAGAGGCAGAGGCAGGCAGAUCUUUGUGAGUUUGAGGCCAGCCUGGUCUACAGAGAGAGAUCCAGGAAAGGCACAAAGCUACACAGAGAAACCCUGUCUCGAAACCCCCCCCCAAAAAAAAACAAGAAAUAAAUGUCUACUUUCCAGAAUGAAUUGAUUAAAAUGCUUACCUUUUAAAAGAUCUUUAUGUGUGGUUUUUAUUUUGCAUGGUCAUAGUAAAACAACUACAUAGAGAAAACAAAAUUUAUAUAUUUUGCAUAAACUCAGUUAUUUUCUUUCAUGCCAAAUAAUAUUUACACAGUGUGUAUUUUCAAUAGAAAAGCUACAAAUGAUUGUGGGAAUGGAAACCUUCAAUCAUGGUGCUAUUGUUAACUUGAGAAAGAGGACCUUUUCCUCUGCUUACUUCUGACUUAGUAGUGCUUUUGUUGGUUUCCUACUGCUGUUUUGAAAAAUUACUACAAGUUUAAUAUUAAAAGACAAGACAAAUGCAUUAUUUUGCAGUUCUGUAAAUCAGAAGUGCAAAAUCUGUCUUAGGGGUCUAAAAUCAAAGUAUUGGGAAAGUUGUCUUCUUUAGUGAAAAUUCUAGAGGAGAUUACAUGUCCUUGUCUUCCAGAUUCUAGGGCCAACUAAUUUCUUUGGCUCAUAGACCCACCGUCAAAGCCAGGAGCACCAGGCCAAGUAUCUUCUACAUUUCCAUCUCUGCUAUUUUGGAUUUCCCCUUCAUUUGUAAGGAAACUUUUGAUUACAUCAAGGCCACCUGUCCUAUCUAGACUAAUCUUAUCUUAAGAUCAGGUGAUUAACGGCAUCAAUGUUCCUUUUACUAUGUAACCUACCCUGAUUCAUAGGUUUGGAGAUUAAAGACAAAGAAUUCUUUAGGAGCCAUUAUACCACAUCAUACCACAGAGCUCAGGCACUUGAGGAAAGCUCUUAUUGCCACUGGCUCCCUGGCAGUUAAUUUGAAUCAGUGUAUGUCUCCUGAGCGCUUCCUGCUAGAAUGUGUUUGAUGAGUGUGUCCAAUACAGUUUUCCCUAAGGCACAGAGUGGCUUCCACAUCUUUCUCCUAGCUUCCCCUCAGGCAAGAAUGAUGAGGAGCUAAAUCUGUGGUGAGUGAUAUUAAUGUAUUUACUACUAAUUAUGGGUUUUGGCUUGUUCACAUCAAUAAACAGGUAAAGACAAAUUUGAAAAAACAAAACAAUAUGUCCUGCUAUUUUAAGUGCAGUGAAAUAAGUUUACUCUUUUUACUGUGUGGAAGACUGAACAAAUUGCUUCUUGUUGUUUUUUACAUGGAGCCAUGUUCAUACACAUAGUUAAUGGACUCGGAGCAUAUGCUUCUCACCUUACUGUCCUCCCUCCCAAGUACUAGUCCCAUUCUUCUGCUUUUGUGUGAUCUCUACAUGUAUGAUUUUGUGUGUCUACAAGCCUGGACCCAGAAAUUCUAGAAUGUUAUACUUGACUAACUGGGACUGACUUAAUUGCUUCAUAUGAUUAUUUCUAGUUGUAUUCAUUUUCAAGAGUAUGUAAUAAUUUCUUUCCCCACGCCUGAAAACCCUUUCAUUGUGUAUGGAGAGCACCUUUUAUGUAGGAAACCAUGGGACUGAGAUCAGCCAUGCCAGCUGCCGAGCAGGUGCUUCUGCUCUUCAGCAUCACCAUUGCUUAUGCACUUGGAAGUAAACACUAACACCAUCACCAUAUGUGGAUCUAGUGCCCUUAAUCUGCACAUACAUGUAUGGUGUUGCCUCUUUUACCCUCCUUCUUUCACUCUCUGUAGUUAUCUGUAAACUUCCUAACACAGCCUAUAUUCAAAGAUAAUAAUAAUAAUUCACAUUUUUUAAGAUUACAACUCCUACAACUUAGCAUGACCAGGUUUUCAGCUUUCAUAAUGUGUAAAUACACUGUGAUUUAAAUAAACACUAAAUAUGAUCUAAUUAACCACCAGAGAUCAUUGAAAAACUACAGAAAAUGACUAGACUUUCUUCUGUCCAUACUUAGUGUGUAAAUGUUAUCACUGCUAAAAAUUGAACAAUAACUGGCACCUCCCAAACAACUACAUGUAUGUUUAAUUAUUUGUUUGCCAUGCUUUUAUAAUUGUGAUUUGGAGUCAAUGCCAGGGUUUUUUUUUUUUAAUGUGGGAAUGUCUAAUAUAUAUCAGAAAUUUAAGAUUAUUUUUGCUCUCUGAAGCCUUUUAUCAUUUUUACCAUUUCCUUUUAUGGAAAUUGAAAUACUAAGUUUAUGACUAAAUUGUCCUGGGGCUUAUAGGGAGAUGAUAAAGCCUGUAAGUGUCACACUUCCAUGCUAAGUGGUUAAGACUGACAGUUCCUUGUGCCCUGACUACUCCAUGCUGUAUUAGCCAUAACAGGAAAGAUCUGUGGUGACAUGUAACCCUUUUUAACACUUGCCUCAGGAUAUUACCCACUGUGAAAAGGCUUUUUAAACUCGUGUUCAUUUCAUACUGAAAUAAUCCACUUUAUUCAUGUCCUCAAGCUCAUGUUUGUAUAGCAGUGGUUGUUUUAAUAACAUUCCAAGGUUCAAAAAUGGAGAGUUGUGGUAGCAGUCGCUUUGAUGUAAAGAAAAGAAAAUGGGGAAAAAACAACAGAAAAAAGAAAAUUUCAAGGUGAAAUCUCUAAACAUUUUGAUUAUUGCCUCUCUCUGAGAAUAUUACUUAAUCUUUGGGACCUCUACUAAACUCCCUGGUCACUACUAUGAAGUAACGAUCAUUUUAAUUAUUGAUACUAGUACACCUGAAUGAUAUAUUGUUAGCUGUGCAAAACUGUGUAUGUUUUAGUCAGGCUUCUCUCCUAACACAGUUUUCUUGUAUUCUAUAGAUUAUUCUUCAGUGUUUGAAUUUGAAAUAUUAAUGUCUCAUCAUGCUCCAAAGAGAUACCCUGAGAAAGAUAGAUGGAUGGACGGUGCUCCUGAUUGUCUCCUUUUCAUAGUGUGCAAAACAUUCAGGAGGAGAAAAGCCCAGCUGUAAAAUCAAGGUUUCCAGACCAGGCUAUUUCUAUUUAUAGCACUGAAAAUGGGACAUGAUACUAGCUAUUUUAGAAAAGCCAUUCCAAGAUGUUCACCAAGUUAUACAAAUAUAGACUGAUAUUUUCUCAAUAAGGACAGAUGAAUUCAAGGACAAAUAUAUGAGAUCUUACUUAAAGCAGAAAAUGUCAACCAUGGAAGAAGGAGAGCUGAUUAUCAUGCCUUUGACAGGAACAGUAGCUAUGAAUCACAGAACCUAUUAACUUGAACUCUCACAACCUCCUUGUCAACCUCCCAGGCUAUGAAGAAAUCCUCUUCUAACGUGGCUUGCACUUAGCAAUGCUCUCAAUCCCUGUUCUGUUACUGCUGCUGCUGAAGACCAAGCAAACACUGGUCCUGUCUUGGUGACUCUAAUUGUCCUAAUGUACAAGUGAAGAAGGAACCACUUUCUUGUAAUUUGCCAUCUUGUGGAUUGAGUUCAAUGUUUUAUUGAAAUCAUUUUGAAAGUAGCACCUAUGCCCCAUUGUAGACCUUCACACUUUAAACAUAAUGUCUUUAUAGUGGGUAAAGUGGCUCAGUGGAUAACAUGCUUGCUGUGUAAGUAUGAGAGCUGGAGUUUAGAAUGCUGGCACUUAUAUAAAAACCCAGGCAGGUGUAUGAGCCCCCUGUGUUCUCAGCAGUCAGAGGUGGAAACAGAUUCAUUCCCAGACAAGCCUACUGGCAAGACUGAGAAUGAGCAAGUUCUGAGUUAAGAAAGAGACCCUGGCAUAAUUCAUAAAGUAUAGAAUGAUCUAGAAGACAUCCUAUAUCAACCAUCAGCUUCAGUGUGUAUAUACACAACAACACAGGUGUGAGAAUGUGCAAAAACACACACUUGCAUGCACACCACAAACGUAAGUAAAAUGUCUCAUAUUGCACAUGUCUUAUCUGGCUACACAAUCUUGCUGUCCUCUAUUCUCGGCAUGCUCUCUUCUUUGUAAAUUGCCCUUCCUUAUUCAAAAGUGCUGACAAAUAUAGAUGAACUUCAGCUGUAAAAUAAGUAUUAUCUAGAAAUAAAUUGAAAAACGUAAACUUUCCAAGCUUGCUCUUUAAUAGAGAUUUUACAGCUAAUUUGUAAGUCCCUAUGAUGUUGGAGUUCUUCAUUAUCCUUUCAUGAGACUGCUUGUGUAGUCAGCUGCAUAGGACAGAAAAUCUGUAGCUGCAUAGAAACAGCGCGGGAUCUUCUGAGUUAUCCUCAAAUGUCAUCAAUUGCAAAGGGCUCUAUAUCUUUCAGUUAUGAUUACAAGGAGACUAUUGCUCCACAGAGGACCCCCCCCCUAGAGGGUAGUGGCACGUGUUUCUUAUCAGUGCAAAAGCUGUUGUAGGCUGCCAAACAUAUUAGAACAGUAAACCAUAGAGGAAAAGACAUUUUCUUUGACCCCGUUUACUUAAGUGAUUUAUCUAAACUUCAGACUUUAGUGUCUGAAAUUACUCCUGAUAUUGAAUCUGUUUUUUUUUUUAAUUUGUUUCAAGUCCCAUGGAGCUCAUUUAAGUUCAGGGUAUCCAUUGACCUACAGGCUUAGGUACAGUGGUGAUAUCAGUACAGACUGUGGAGAGUGGAGGGACACCUGGAACGAAUGAGCCACAGUGAAAACAAAGACAUUGGGCUAGAAAUUGAGACUUUUGUUUUGAAAGGUGAAGCAUCCAGUACCAAGGUAGUUUUGAUAAGGAUUACUGCUUUUGUUUUGUUUGUUUUUGUUUUAUUUUGUAUUUAUUAACCAUGGAAUCAUGAAAUCUGGCCACUACUGUCUGCAAGCUCUGAAGCUCUGUUCUUUUUUAAAAAUUUGUUUUGUUUGUUUCAUAAUUAAUAUUCUUAUUUAUAUUUAUAUAUAUUUUUAGUAUUUCUCUUUUUAGUUUUCCUUUGAGAGGGAUGCUACAAGGGUGAAGGGCAGAUAUGGAGAUAAUAGGAAAUGAGUGAGAUUGGGGUGCAUGAUGUAAAAUUUCUAAAGAAUCAGUUAAAAAAAAGUUAUGUUAAAAAAAUAAAGUCCUGGGUGGGGUUGUUAAGUUUUCAUAUGCUGAGGUUAAAAAAUGGAGUUUACUGCUAUUUGGGUAAAAAGACAUUUGAUGUAGAUGAAUCCUAUUGCCUUUUCUCCUGCCUUGACCCCUAACCUUCACAUUGCCUGGGCAGAGGAGCCAGUAGAUACUAUAAGUCUAAAUAUUUAAAGCUCCAAGUGAGUUAUACAUGAUCUGAUUAUGUAAGAUUUGGCUCCUGUCUUACCAAGCACCGAUUUACACUGAGUAGGAUAGCCAGGGGAAAUGUAGGGAUUUGUGAAACCUUAGGUUUGCUUCUGAGGGUAACUAGACCCCUACUCCUCACCCAUAGCCUAUUCUUUUUCUUCUCUUAGCUUUACGGCAUUCAGUGCAUGAAGAGACUUCCGUGCACUUUGUGCGCAUGUCUUGCUGCAUAACAAAUCUCCAGAAAUAACUGAACCCCUGCAAAAAAAAAAAAUGUUUCUGUUAGUCUUUCUUGGCCUGGGGGCAUGCAUAUGAGCACUGUGAUUCCCCACAGGAGGAUGCACUUUAAAAAUCACCUUGGAAAUAAUAUCAGGGCUAUUUGAUCCAGCAAUUUGGAAGAGCCAACACCCAGAAAAUAGUAUAGAGAGAGGAAGAUGGACUUUAGAUAAGGUUCCUCAUAGAACCUUAACUCUUUGAGGGGGUUGGGAAAGAGGAAGAACAGUGGUGAAUUUCGGGUAAGAGCCCAUGUCUUAGUAAGGUGCUAUGAGAUUCUUUGUAAUACGUUUUUCCCAGAAUAUGAAUUUGUUCCUCGGAAUUGUAUAAAUAUGUGUGAUGAAGACGAGAUGGCAUUGUAGUUUCUGAAAAGGAAAAUGUAUUAUUCAUAGAACUGAAAGAGAAUAUUAGAGACAAGAUUAAUGGAAAAGUCUUCAAAUAGCCUCAAACAAAUGAUACCCAACUGAGGUUAUGGAUAUACCAAUGACUGUGAUUUGAUCAUUAUUUAAUGUAUACAUGUAUUGCAAUAUCACAUUCUACCCACAAAUAUAUACAACCACUAGAUUUCAAUUAGACAUUAAAAUUAUUCUUUUAAAAGCAUAUGGAUGGAGAUGGAACAAGCCUGUCCUUUCUUGUUCUUCCUGAGCAACAUUUCCUGUUAAUGAAGAGAAACGUGCCAUAAGAAAACCUAUCAUUGUAAAAACCAGUAACGAAGCUCAGAAUUGCCAUGUCCUUGUCAGGCAUCAUUUUUCUGGCCCCUCUGGUCAUAGGACAAGGCUGUGAGGCUGGCUGAAAGCAGGUGGCUAUAAUUAAUUCUUCUGGUAAAUAUUAACAUUGUCAUCUCUCUGAGCAGGAGGGUUAAGGAGAAUGUUUCUCCAUUCUUACAUUGGCCCUUAAAAAUGGCUCUGGCAUCCUGUUACCAGAUGCCAGCAGAUGCCAGUGUGCUGCAGGGUUCCAGUAUCAUUGCUGUGGGUGUCCUCAGUAGGAACUGGUAGUGUAUGGCACCAGUGCCCCACUGCUGCUCCUGUUUUACAGAAUGCAAUCAUCUCUGUCACCUUCAACAUGGACCUAUCAGACUGACAUGGAAUGCUUUUCAUAUUUGAAAAUAAAUUCUCUUUAAAGUCUCAAUAGUAAGUUUAAAAAUUGGCUCGAUUAAGCAUAAGAUGAUGGCUCUGUGUGCCUGGGAAGCAGAAAGCAAGUGUAGAUUCUAAAUUUUCAGUUUUGGCAAGCAGAGUGCUGAAUGUGGCAGAGUUUCAAAAUGUUUAUUGGAAAUAAAACAUGAACUGAACUGAAAACUGUCCUUUCUGGAAAGCAUUCAUAAAAAUUUGACUUUGGUUGUGUUUUUGCACCUAAAAUAUGUAUUUGUACACUUCCUCUAUAAACUGUUUUUAAUUGUAGUUAAAGAAUUACUGUUGAACUAGUGAGUUUAAACAAAAAGAAAGUUUAAAGGUGGUGCCUUAAGUUGUCAACAUUCCUGCUGUGUUUCCAUACCAUCUCUGAGAGUAUUAAUAAAAUUAGAAAAGUA